This 482-nucleotide long non-coding RNA is filed under the name Eucalyptus grandis. RNAcentral describes it as "long non-coding RNA (EGRA_LNC001592)". Lineage: Eukaryota; Viridiplantae; Streptophyta; Magnoliopsida; Myrtales; Myrtaceae. The record is from RNAcentral.
GACCCUGACUGCUAGCGACAUCGGUUUCUGUCGUCCUAUAGACUAAUAAAAGUUUAAUAGGCUUCUUCGUCAUCAUAAUCCUUAAGACCACUUUCCAUUUCUCACGAUAUGAUCUCCUCUGCUUCGAAUGAAAAGCCCUUCAGAAUGUGUAAUGCUGCUGAAUGGAAUCGAUGUCCAGGCCUUUGAGCUUGACCACGGAUUCAACAUGGCCCUUCAGAGUGUGUAGCUCGCGAAGCCUGCAACAACAGAUUCACUUUGUCUUACCAUCACAUGUAGGACUUAAACAGUGAAAAGGAAUUGCUAGCAGCGAAUGGUUUAAACUCUGUUUCGAGAGAGUAAGGCGCCUAAACUCAGUUAAAUACAGCACGGCCUUUGAACUUCAGUUAUUAGGCAAGCAAACAGGUACGGAAGCGAAGAAGGUGAAACUAUGUUUUUUUUUUUGGUGAAAAGAAGGUGGAACUAUGUUUUUCAGUAAAUAACAC